AAGUCGUAACAAGGUUUCCGUAGGUGAACCUGCGGAAGGAUCAUUAUCGAAAUAAAGUCUGAAGGGGGGAGACGAGUAGGUGAAGUUUGGAGAGUGUAGAGAUUGUCGCUGGCCUCCGGAAACGGGGGGCAUGUGCACGUCUUUCCUCGACUUAGUCCCUGCUCUCUUUCCUUUCGCAAACCUCAACACCUGUGCACCUAUUUGUAGGGGACCGAAAGGGGACCUAUGUUUUCAUCUCGCCCCAAACGUAUGUCUAUAGAACGUAUUUAAUGCGUCGACCGGCCUGGCUAAUGCCUUGUUGGCGACGGUAAACUAUUACAA
This 321-nucleotide unclassified non-coding RNA is filed under the name plant metagenome. Its description in RNAcentral is "partial contains small subunit ribosomal RNA and internal transcribed spacer 1". The stretch from base 1 to 46 matches the Rfam family "Eukaryotic small subunit ribosomal RNA", at positions 1786 to 1831 of the family's 1831-position model. The record is from RNAcentral.